GCUAGCGACAGGCUUAACACAUGCAAGUCGAGGGCAGCAUAAAAGUAGCAAUACUUGGUGGCGACCGGCGCAUGGGUGAGUAACGCGUAUGCAACCUACCUAUCAGAGGGGAAUAACCCGGCGAAAGUCGGACUAAUACCGCAUAAAACAGGGGCACCGCAUGGUGAUAUUUGUUAAAGAAAUUCGCUGAUAGAUGGGCAUGCGUUCCAUUAGGUAGUUGGUGAGGUAACGGCUCACCAAGCCGACGAUGGAUAGGGGAACUGAGAGGUUGGUCCCCCACACUGGUACUGAGACACGGACCAGACUCCUACGGGAGGCAGCAGUGAGGAAUAUUGGUCAAUGGGCGGGAGCCUGAACCAGCCAAGUCGCGUGAAGGAAAAGAAGGAUCUAUGGUUCGUAAACUUCUUUUGCAGGGGAAUAAAGUGCAGGACGUGUCCUGUUUUGUAUGUACCCUGAGAAUAAGGAUCGGCUAACUCCGUGCCAGCAGCAGC
Molecule: ribosomal RNA, 491 nt
Filed under: uncultured bacterium
Lineage: Bacteria
Description: bacterial SSU rRNA
Rfam family: Bacterial small subunit ribosomal RNA
Source: RNAcentral